UUCUGAUUGGACGAUAACUGUCACGUGUCAUGAGAUGUUGACUCGAUGGACGAUGAAAUGCAUUCUUGUAAUCAUUGGUCAAUCAGAACAUAACAAGUGGCAAUUAUCGUUC
Non-coding RNA from Glycine soja, 112 nucleotides. The record is from Rfam. Lineage: Eukaryota; Viridiplantae; Streptophyta; Magnoliopsida; Fabales; Fabaceae.